RNAcentral lists this ribosomal RNA (406 nucleotides) under uncultured bacterium. RNAcentral describes it as "partial 16S ribosomal RNA". It matches the Rfam family "Bacterial small subunit ribosomal RNA", at positions 30 to 526 of the family's 1533-position model. The record is from RNAcentral.
AUUGAACGCUGGCGGCAGGCCUAACACAUGCAAGUCGGACGAGCGGCGGACGGGUGAGUAAUGUCUGGGAAACUGCCUGAUGGAGGGGGAUAACUACUGGAAACGGUAGCUAAUACCGCAUACCAUCAGAUGUACCCAGAUGGGAUUAGCUUGUUGGUAGGGUAACGGCUUACCAAGGCGACGAUCCCUAGCUGGUCUGAGAGGAUGACCAGCCACACUGGGACGGAGACACGGCCCAGACUCCUACGGGAGGCAGCAGUGGGGAAUAUUGCACAAUGGGCGCAAGCCUGAUGCAGCCAUGCCGCGUGUAUGAAGAAGGCCUUCGGGUUGUAAAGUACUUUCAGUCGGGAGGCGUUACCGACAGAAGAAGCACCGGCUAACUCCGUGCCAGCAGCCGCGGUAAUAC